CCAGCAAACAAAAAGCUCAUCCUUACAAUGGUCAUGUCAACAAGCAAAGCAACCUAAAAGCCAAAAAUCUUAUAAAUCAUCGUCAAUAUCAACAGCUUUGCCACCCAAUUUCUUGCUCUUUUCAGCUUCCAUAUCUGCAGCUGCCCUUUUUCUCGUGACUCCAUAAAAUCACGCCAUAACUUUUUGCUCUCUUUCUCUCUCUUUCCCAUAAAAGUAUAUAUGUUAUGGUCACCCUUCUCAUCAACUUGCAUAUCCUUUCGUUUCCUCUCCUUUCCUACAUUCUUAUCUUAAUUUUAAUGUGAACGAUUCUAUUUCCUUUGAACUCUUCCGUCAUUGCAACACUUUAAUCUAUACAUAAUCUUUCACGGAAAUGUAGAAGUAUAGGCAUAGAGAUUUGGAGCUGAGGAAAUAUGGGGGGUCAUAAAGAGAGGGAGAUCAGCAACAAGGAGGAGCAGGAGCAGGAGGAUAGAGAGUAUGAGGUGGAGGAUGUUAGAGAUAGAAUAAACUCGUCGCGAGGGAGCAGAUUCAAUCUCAUAGAGAACGAGUUAGGGCUUGAGUCAGGGACUCGGCGGAAGUUCAGUCGGGAAUCGGUAAUCAAUGGUAUUCGUUACGUCUCUACAGGUCUCUUUAUCCGACCUGAAAACAGAUGGUAUAGGGCAUGGACGAAGUUCAUACUGAUAUGGGCAGUCUACUCAUCCUUCUUUACACCCAUGGAGUUUGGUUUCUUCAGGGGAUUACCUGAGAACCUCUUCAUACUGGAAAUUGUUGGACAGCUUGCUUUCCUAUUUGAUAUCAUUCUACAGUUCUUCGUUGCCUACAGAGACAGCCAGACAUAUCGUAUGAUCUAUAAGCGCACUCCUGUUGCUCUUCGGUACUUAAAAUCUCAUUUUUUCAUUGAUUUACUCGCUUGCAUGCCUUGGGACAUCAUCUUCAAGGCUUGUGGACAUAAAGAAGAAGUUAGGUAUCUUUUGUGGAUUAGGCUAAGCCGAGUGCGCAAAGUAACCAACUUUUUCCAAAAUAUGGAGAAGGAUAUACGAAUAAAUUACCUGUUUACAAGAAUUGUAAAACUUACUGCUGUAGAACUCUACUGCACACAUACCGCAGCCUGCAUUUUUUACUAUUUGGCUACCACUCUACCAUCCUCUGAAGAGGGUUAUACUUGGAUUGGAAGCUUAAAGAUGGGUGACUACAGCUAUUCACACUUCAGAGAGAUUGACAUCUGGAAGCGUUAUGUAACAUCUUUAUAUUUUGCUGUUGUCACUAUGGCCACUGUUGGGUAUGGAGAUAUACAUGCAGUAAAUCUGAGGGAAAUGAUAUUUGUAAUGAUAUAUGUGUCCUUAGAUAUGGUUCUUGGUGCUUAUUUGAUUGGCAAUAUGACAGCGCUAAUUGUAAAAGGAUCAAAGACAGAAAAGUUCAGGGAUAAAAUGACAGAUCUCAUCAAAUAUAUGAACAGAAAUGGACUUGGAAGGGACAUCCGUAACCAGAGCAAAGGCCAUUUGCGCUUACAGUAUGAAAGUAGCUACACUGAAGCUUCUGUUCUUCAGGAUAUUCCUAUAUCUAUUCGUGCUAAGAUUUCCCAAACAUUAUACAUGCCAUAUGUUGAAAAUGUUCCCCUGCUCAAAGGAUGCUCUGCAGAAUUUAUUAAUCAGAUUGUUAUUAGGCUUCAUGAGGAGUUUUUUCUCCCAGGAGAAGUAAUUAUGGAGCAGGGAAACGUUGUAGAUCAACUUUAUUUUGUCUGUCAU
RNAcentral lists this unclassified non-coding RNA (1742 nucleotides) under Hevea brasiliensis (rubber tree). The record is from RNAcentral. Lineage: Eukaryota; Viridiplantae; Streptophyta; Magnoliopsida; Malpighiales; Euphorbiaceae.